UACUAAGGGUAUAGUUUAUUUGUGUUAGAUUUAUUUUAGUUAUUUACAAUAGGAGUUUAUGUUUGGUGAAAUAAGACUAGUUAUUUUAGGUUAUAUUUUAUUUAGUAGGAGUUGUGAGUGAUUAGGAUUAGAUACCCUAUUAAUAUACAAGUGUAUUUUCUAGGGAUUAAAGAUAAAAUUAAAAUAUUUGGCGGCUGUGUAUAUUAAAGGGAUUUGCUAUAUUCGAUACACCUCGUUUAUUAUUAGUUAGUUUAUUUUUGUAUACCGUCAUUUAGAUAAUUUUGAUAGGGAUGAAUUAUGUUGAUAAUUUAUAUUAUAUUAGAUCAAGGUGCAGAAAUAAUUAAUUUAAAGUUAAUGACAAUAAUAAUUAUUACACGGGCUCUAAAUAAUUUUGGUUAAUAGGUGGAUUUAAUUGUAAUGAAAGUGUAUUGGAAUUAUAUUGUAGUGUACAAAUUGCCCGUCAUUCUCUGUGAG
Molecule: ribosomal RNA, 474 nt
Filed under: Niphargus schellenbergi
Lineage: Eukaryota; Metazoa; Arthropoda; Malacostraca; Amphipoda; Niphargidae
Description: partial 12S ribosomal RNA
Source: RNAcentral